AUUGAACGCUGGCGGCAUGCCUUACACAUGCAAGUCGAACGGUAACAGGUUAAGCUGACGAGUGGCGAACGGGUGAGUAAUGUAUCGGAACGUGCCCAAAAGUGGGGGAUAGCCCGGCGAAGGCCGGAUUAAUACCGCAUGAGACCUGAGGGUGAAAGCGGGGGAUCGCAAGACCUCGCGCUGUUGGAGCGGCCGAUAUCAGAUUAGGUAGUUGGUGGGGUAAAGGCCUACCAAGCCUGCGAUCUGUAGCUGGUCUGAGAGGAUGACCAGCCACACUGGGACUGAGACACGGCCCAGACUCCUACGGGAGGCAGCAGUGGGGAAUUUUGGACAAUGGGCGCAAGCCUGAUCCAGCCAUGCCGCGUGCGGGAAGAAGGCCUUCGGGUUGUAAACCGCUUUUGUCAGGGAAGAAAUCUUCUGGGUUAAUACCUCGGGAGGAUGACGGUACCUGAAGAAUAAGCACCGGCUAACUACGUGCCAGCCGCCGCUGUAA
This 493-nucleotide ribosomal RNA is filed under the name uncultured bacterium. RNAcentral's name for it is "partial 16S ribosomal RNA". It matches the Rfam family "Bacterial small subunit ribosomal RNA", at positions 30 to 523 of the family's 1533-position model. The record is from RNAcentral.